RNAcentral lists this ribosomal RNA (468 nucleotides) under uncultured bacterium. RNAcentral's name for it is "partial 16S ribosomal RNA". It matches the Rfam family "Bacterial small subunit ribosomal RNA", at positions 28 to 507 of the family's 1533-position model. The record is from RNAcentral.
GACGAACGCUGGCGGCGUGCUUAACACAUGCAAGUCGAACGGAAAGGCGCUGCUUUUGUGGGGUGCUCGAGUGGCGAACGGGUGAGUAACACGUGAGUAACCUGCCCUUGACUGUGGGAUAACUUCAGGAAACUGGGGCUAAUACCGGAUAGGAGCUCCUGCUGCAUGGGGGGGGUUGGAAAGUUUCGGCGGUUGGGGAUGGACUCGCGGCUUAUCAGCUUGUUGGUGGGGUAGUGGCUUACCAAGGCUUUGACGGGUAGCCGGCCUGGGAGGGUGACCGGCCACAUUGGGACUGAGGUACGGCCCAGACUCCUACGGGAGGCAGCAGUGGGGAAUAUUGCACAAUGGGCGGAAGCCUGAUGCAGCAACGCCGCGUGCGGGAUGACGGCCUUCGGGUUGUAAACCGCUUUCGCCUGUGACGAAGCGUGAGUGACGGUAAUGGGUAAAGAAGCACCGGCUAACUACGUG